CUUUCACGGUGAGUUUCCGUUUCAUAUUCUAAUCCUUUGUCCUCUGGCAGAAUGGGGUAAAGAGAAAAGAAAUCCCUGGGAUUGGUAAGGAAAAAAGAUAUCAGAAACCAACACAAAUAAGCUAAGAGAAGGAGCAAGAACUCAAGUUUUCAAUGAAGCAGCUUUCUUAACAGCUCCAAAAGAUUUCUGCUACUGAAUUUACAGUUAAGUCUGUUCAUGGUACGAUGCAGCUGAGCUCGAUGUGGACUGUCAGAACCCCAUUAAAGGUAAAUUGUGGUGAUGUCAGCCAGGCAGCAGAAUUCAUUGUCAGUUCCUUUUGUUUAUGGCUGAACUAGACAGGAGCAUGUUCGGGGACGGAGAGUGUGAAAUGUCUUCAUCCUGUUUUUCUUUCUUUGCCACCUUAUGACUCAUGGAGAUUGUAACUGCCACUUAAAUUACCUUUGUCUUUGAUAAAACCUGAUUAAGAUCCUUCAAAUUGCAGCCUGAAGUUUUCAAGAACUAUGUAUAUUUCUUAUUUUUAUUUAUUUUCUUGAGAAACAACAUUGAAUGAGAUGUAAUGUAAAGGCUUGCUUACAUUAAGAACAAAAGAGAAAAAAGGAAAAAAGUUGAAUCCCAGAAUGUAGAAUGAAACAAGGCUUCAUGAAAAUGGCUAUACAUUUUAUUCCUAGUGUUGUACUUUGUUUGAAGAUGGAUUUCUUUGUUCAGAAAGAAUCCUAAAUUAAUUAGCUUUGAUUUCUUGACACCCUCUCAUUCCUUAAGGCCUUUUGUGCUUUGUAUUGUUUCUGCUACUCUAUUGAUUUUACUAUUAAGAAUCACUUAAUAUAACAGUUGCCCUCCUUGAGCACUUAAAACCGUCUGGCAAUUUUGUUCACUCCUUGGAACUCUCUCCUUUGAAUGUAUUAUUGUUGUGAAAGGUUGUUGUUGAAUCACGCGAAUACACCGGGAUUCUUGGCCCCCGGAGGAGAAGAAUUCAAUCCGGGGCCAGAGACGAGGCUUGAUCGCUCAGAGCUUUUGUGUAGUAAAGUUUUAUUAAAGUAUAAAGGAGAUAGAGAAAGCUUCUGACAUAGGCAUCAGAAGGGGGCAGAAAGAGUACCCGCUUGCUAGUGUUAACAAUGAAGUUAUAUACUCUCCAGUGAAUCCAAAGAAUGUCGAGGUUGUAAAGACCUCAUCAGACCUACUCCCAUAAUUUACAUUUUAAGAUAACACUGUCCUCAGGCAAGAUACAUCCUUGUAAAGACCAGGUCUACUCCCAUAAUUAACAUUUUAAGAUAACAGAAUUAGCCAGAAGGUUUAAUCCAAAGACUGUCCUUAAUCCAGAGACUGUCCUCAGGCAGGAUACAUUAUUGUUAUAUAAUCCUAAGGAAUGUGGAGAAAGAAAAAAAGUUUGUCCUUUCUUCCACCUUGAGAAUUCCAGACCCCUCUCUCCUUGGGAACCCCUAGACUUCCUAUCAACCUGCCUAGGAAAUGACUCUCUCAGUUGUAGCCACGCAUUCCGGAAAACAAACUCACUCAGAAGGGCAAUGCAGAUAGUGGAGUGCAGUUUAUUACACCGGCAGGCCCAAGGCAGAGUCUCCUUUUAGCCAAGGACCCUGACCAGUUUUUGUGAAAACCUUGUAUACCCUAAGUGCAAUAACCCGCCUCCCCAAUUCCCUGAAACUAGUCUGAACAAAGGAAAAAGAAAGAUACAAUCAAAGUUAACCCAUGAUUCAUAUGCCUUAAGCCUAGGUAGUUAACAAUGGACAAUUAUCAAUAGGCUUGUGGUCAGACCCUAAUAAGCACAAUAGAAUGUAUGAUUCUAUUAGGUUACACAGAUAAUUAGGGUAUUCUUUAAGGCAGCAGAGAGUCUAGGUACAAGCCCUGGGGCUCUUCCUUCUGGGGGCCAGGUUUUCCAGUUGGUUUGUUGUUUCCAUAGAUACUGGGUAUAUAGCUCAAAGUCCACAGUCUGGCCCAAGAUGGAGUCUUGCUUUCAAGAUAGAGCCUGUUCUGUGUGUUUCCUCCUUCAUUAUCAUGGCACAUACUUUGCACAUCUCCUUCUUGUUUGAUUUCCAUUUUUCUCCUUUAUAAGAGCUUUUCCUCUACAAAUUCAAACCAAAAACAACACAGAGCAAAGUGAAGGCAAACAACAAUAACAAAAGCACACAUCAUAAACUGAGUUAUGAUAGCAGAGCGACAGUUACACAUGAGGCUCAAACACAAUGAAUCUGCAAAGAUGUUUUGGAGGCUGGGUUAUUCGAUUAACAUUAAAGAUGCUACCCAGAUAACAUUUUAACAUAUAAAAUACUUCCACUAGUAUAAAUACAUGGCCCUGAUGUUAUUUAUUAAGUGGCCUGAAAAUUCAGACAAAUUCAUUUCCUUUCUCAUUAGUGACAUUAUCCCAUAGCAAGAGAUCUGAUAAGCUCUCAAAAUCUACAAAUAAAUUUUGAUUGUUUAUCUUCUGUUUUUCUAGAUAAUUGUUGUAAGUCAGGUCUCCAUAUCUUUCUAAUUUAAAAAUGAUUGUGAUUCCUGCUAUAAACAAAUCAGACAAUAGGACUCAACAAACAUAAGAUGCCAAUAUUGCUUUGGAAAUGGGUUAAAGUAAAAAGAGAUCUGGCCUUUGGUAAUGUAAAGUUUUGUGGAAUCCUCUCUUUUUGGAUCUGGCUUGGACUGGGCAUUUCUGGCUCCCAUGUCCUCGGGCUAUGUCAUUUGCAAUGGAUCUCUUAUCUGCUCCCAAGCAGUUUCUAUUUAUUUGUCACCUGGAUAAUCUCUCUUCACACUUUUCAAAAAAGGAAUUUUUACAUUAGCUAACAAGGGAAUCCAGACCUUUUUAUUGUAGGAUAUCCCUUUAAAAAAAGGCAAGCAGAUGGUGAGAUUUUAGCUUCUGUUGUAAAUAAUCGCUUCUAAAAUGGAAGAUAAUCAUUCUUUAUAAUAUGGCAAGGCAGAAAAGCAAGCAUUUGUUUACAUUUCAGAUAGCUUUAAAACUGUUUUAUUGGGGAUUCUUUAGGUUACAAGAAUUAACAUUAAGAAAUUAGAAAAUAGUUGUUACAGUGAAGGCAGUUUGGGGAACCAGUUGGGGUGUCAGGGAUACCAAUUGAUGAUUUUCAAUGGGCCAUUCUGCAGAGCUAUUAAGUCCAGACAUACUAAACAAAAAAGAAAACACUGCUACAAGAGUUCUCAAUUGCUAAAAUUGAAUCAUAUAUAUAUAUAUAUAUACACAUUCAAAUAUAACUUUUCAAAUUAUAGAAAGUGCCCUGAGUGAAUAGGAAAAAAGGCUUUAUUUUAGCAAGCAGCAUCAAAAUUAUGAAUAAUAGAAUUCAAGGAAUCUCACACAUAUUUAGGUUUUUAUACAUUUUAUUCCAUAAUCUGAAUCUUAUAAUGAUUAAGUGUUAAAAUAUUUUCCCUCACUUUCUCA
This is a long non-coding RNA of Bos taurus (domestic cattle), 3388 nucleotides long. The record is from Ensembl. NCBI's taxonomy places the organism in Eukaryota, Metazoa, Chordata, Mammalia, Artiodactyla, Bovidae.